Molecule: unclassified non-coding RNA, 1546 nt
Filed under: Hevea brasiliensis (rubber tree)
Lineage: Eukaryota; Viridiplantae; Streptophyta; Magnoliopsida; Malpighiales; Euphorbiaceae
Source: RNAcentral
GAUACUCGUUUUCAUAUAUUAUGACGUUGAUUUAUUAUUAAGUUGGAUUACAUCACAAUGAUAAAUCAUGUUGCAAUACAUUUAUUAACCUAUAUGUUAAAUGUGUACAACGAACUUCAAAGAUUCAGAAACAUGUUAUAUGUUGUUGCUUCUUGCUAGAAACAUUUCUCCCACUUGUGUAGCUUUGGUUUGGUAACAACUUAAAUGUAAGCAAAUGAACAUAGGCAGUACCAUUUGAUCAGCAGUAAUUCACAUCUUUGACGUUAGACGACUGAGAGUCGCCUGAAUCGUUCCAUGUGGUUCAUCCGUUGGCAAGUAAACAUCGUCAGCAAACUUAACAAUGUCUGGUUUAUCUUUGCUUGGCAAAUUGACCGGCAGAAAAUGGAUAUUUGGCAUCUUCAACUGAAUGAAUGAAAUGUCAGGAGACCUUCCAAGAACAGCCUUUGCCAUUUCGUAAAGUGUGGCUUGAACAGAAGGGCUGUAUACUCCUUCCUUAGAUGGUCCAAAGAAUGUGUUAAGCAGGACCUCUUUCACAUCUAUGCAUCUAUCUGUGAAAUACAGAGGCUUCAGGGGAAGACUUGAGAGAGAUUCAAAAGAGUACCUCCAAGAUGCAGUGACCUCUGUAGCCAUCAUCCUUUCGCGUGUUUCAGGCAACAUAGUGUACCGGUCCCUAAUGAAUCCUUCAAAACCUGACUGUUUCAAUAAGCCAUUUGUUAUACAAAUCAACACUGCACUUAUUGUAUGAAAAAAUUCAGUAGCCAUUUGUUUAGAGUGGUGCAUCAAGAAAUGUGUACUACCAAUUUUAAUCACGUAAAAAAGAAUUCCUAGUUACUAUAGGAAGAAGUAUAUUAGAUGCUGGAGCUCCAAUUUUAGAGUAAGGAAGACUAAGGACCUAUGUGGGACCGAAUGGAUCUUGUGUGACCCACAUAUAAACCAUCUCAAACUACAUACCAGCUAUAUCUCCAUCAUUCCUGAGAGUACUACCCUUGUUGCCUUGUAGCUGAUCCAUAGCCCCAACCUCCACUAACUCCGUCCAGAAGGUGGGAGGGUCGAAAGAAAACAAACUAAAAUGACUUCCUGGAGUGUGACAUACCUCAUUUUACUAAAGGAGGAUCACAUAUCUUAAUAGGAUACCGUAAAAGUUCUCAUUCAAACUCCAGAACCCUUUUCUUUCUUGUUUUUAGGUAUGUGGAACUGUAACUUUACCUGCAACAACUAGAAGCAGAAAAUAAAGAAAGAAUCUUAGGCAGAUGUAUAACAGGGAUUACCUUAGUUGUCUUCAGAAUUGAUAAUCCUUCAAUACCAGAUGUCAGGUGCAAUGUUCCUGAUUUAUCGACCAUUACUUCAGUUGUAUGUCUUUCAGAGCCAAGCUUAAAACCAUGUUCAUGUUGUUGGCCCUUUAUGCUAAUGCGUUCCCAUGGCUUCUCAACUAUAUUAACAAUUGCAGCAGUGACCUGCUGAUAAAAGGAGGUGAAGUGCUUUGCAAGUACAAUGGCAAAAUCUUCAGCUGAAAGUUUCUCUGAACAUUCCUUAGCUUUCGCAUAUA